Molecule: long non-coding RNA, 210 nt
Filed under: Pan paniscus (pygmy chimpanzee)
Lineage: Eukaryota; Metazoa; Chordata; Mammalia; Primates; Hominidae
Description: lncRNA (ENSPPAG00000044791.1)
Source: RNAcentral
AUGUCCCCCAGAGGUCAGAAUCCUGAGCCAAUGGCUGGCAAGGAGAGUGAGAUUAUACUAAAGACAAGGGCGGAGUCGGCUUUCCCUGUGACCACUGUAGCUGGGGAAGAAAGAUACAAGGGAAACCUUUGCUGUUUUUCAGUUACCCAGCCAACAAGAAACUUGCUGAGCAGACUCCAGUGGACCUGCGAUAUACGGGGACAAGUUUGA